This 573-nucleotide ribosomal RNA is filed under the name Triticum aestivum (bread wheat). Its description in RNAcentral is "partial small subunit ribosomal RNA". Lineage: Eukaryota; Viridiplantae; Streptophyta; Magnoliopsida; Poales; Poaceae. The record is from RNAcentral.
CGCCUGGGAAUAGAGGAAGCGAACCGGAGCGUAGGAAAAAGAGGAGGCGACGAGAGAAGAAAAAAGAUAAAACCGGUACCGCGGCUCACGGACAGGGGAGUGGUGGCGUAAACCUCGAGUGGCAGCAAUUUCCUAGGCUGGCGGAUGUCGGUGCUCUGGAGGGAGGGGGUGACUAUAGACAAAAACUGACCUGCACUACCACGUUUGGCUGUUGACACCGCUCGGCCUCCGCCCUGCACUACCACGUUUGGCUGUUGACACCGCUCGGCCUCCGCCCCAAUGGGAUGCUACGAUGUUAUUACCGCGGGCGUGUGACUUAGACUAGUUAGACUAAAUAAAAAUCUCAACGUAAGUACCACUUAGCACGACCUUGGUUACCACCAGGACUACGUUAGGUCUGCCGGGGCUCCCGCCCUGGAGUGAUCUCGAGUAGCCCGUGCCAGUGCCCCCGUGCUGGAGUGGCCUCGAACAGCCCGUGCCGGUGUUGCUGCUGUUCCUCUCCCUCACCUCCACACGUGCACCCCCUCGAACACUUAGGGGAACAAAAAAAGAGCGCUCCUUCUGUUGUGUCUA